UACAGAGGGGGCAAGCGUUAUUCGGAAUUAUUGGGCGUAAAGGGCGCGUAGGCGGUUUUGUAAGUAGGAUGUGUAAUCCCCGAGCUCAACUUGGGAACUGCAUCCUAGACUGCAAGGCUAGAGUGCUGGAGAGGGUGGUAGAAUUCCACGUGUAGCGGUGAAAUGCGUAGAGAUGUGGAGGAAUACCAGUGGCGAAGGCGGCCACCUGGACAGCAACUGACGCUGAGGCGCGAAAGUGUGGGGAGCAAACAGGAUUAGAUACCCUGGUAGUCCACGCUGUAAACGAUGAACACUUGGUGUGUCGGGAGUUGACCCCCGACGUGCCGGAGCUAACGCGUUAAGUGUUCCGCCUGGGGAGUACGGUCGCAAGGCUGAA
RNAcentral lists this ribosomal RNA (376 nucleotides) under uncultured bacterium. Its description in RNAcentral is "bacterial SSU rRNA". It matches the Rfam family "Bacterial small subunit ribosomal RNA", at positions 524 to 898 of the family's 1533-position model. The record is from RNAcentral.